This 497-nucleotide ribosomal RNA is filed under the name uncultured bacterium. RNAcentral describes it as "partial 16S ribosomal RNA". It matches the Rfam family "Bacterial small subunit ribosomal RNA", at positions 28 to 507 of the family's 1533-position model. The record is from RNAcentral.
GAUGAACGCUGGCGGCGUGCCUAAUACAUGCAAGUCGAGCGAACAGAUGAGGAGCUUGCUCCUCUGACGUUAGCGGCGGACGGGUGAGUAACACGUGGAUAACCUACCUAUAAGACUGGGAUAACUUCGGGAAACCGGAGCUAAUACCGGAUAAUAUAUUGAACCGCAUGGUUCAAUAGUGAAAGACGGUUUUGCUGUCACUUAUAGAUGGAUCCGCGCCGCAUUAGCUAGUUGGUAAGGUAACGGCUUACCAAGGCAACGAUGCGUAGCCGACCUGAGAGGGUGAUCGGCCACACUGGAACUGAGACACGGACCAGACGCCUACGGGAGGCAGCAGUAUGGAAUCUUCUGCAAUGGGCGAAAGCCUGACGGAGCAACGCCGCGUGAGUGAUGAAGGUCUUCGGAUCGUAAAACUCUGUUAUGAGGGAAGAACAAAUGUGUAAGUAACUAUGCACGUCUUGACGGUACCUAAUCAGAAAGCCACGGCUAACUACGUG